CCUACGGGAGGCAGCAGUGGGGAAUCUUGCGCAAUGGGCGAAAGCCUGACGCAGCAACGCCGCGUGCGGGAAGAAGGCUCUCGGGUUGUAAACCGCUUUCAGCAGGAACGAAAAUGACGGUACUUGCAGAAGAAGGUGCGGCCAACUACGUGCCAGCAGCCGCGGUGACACGUAGGCACCAAGCGUUGUCCGGAUUUAUUGGGCGUAAAGAGCUCGUAGGCGGUUCGGUAAGUCAGGUGUGAAAACUUUGGGCUCAACCCAAAGCCUGCAUCUGAUACUGCUGUGACUAGAGUUCGGUAGGGGAGCGGGGAAUUCCUAGUGUAGCGGUGAAAUGCGCAGAUAUUAGGAGGAACACCGGUGGCGAAGGCGCCGCUCUGGGCCGAAACUGACGCUGAGGAGCGAAAGCGUGGGUAGCAAACAGGAUUAGAUACCCUGGUAGUCCACGCCGUAAACGUUGGGGUCGACGUAGGUAGGUGGUUACGUAACCGAACCGAAACGUACCGCCGCCGUCCGCGUACGACAUUAAGUACGUCCCGCCGUCGGGUAGGUACGGCCGCGAACGUUAAACGUACGAAAGUAGAAGUUAGACGGCGUGUAGACGUUGCGACGGACGACGACGAGGGAGGAGG
This 629-nucleotide ribosomal RNA is filed under the name uncultured bacterium. RNAcentral's name for it is "bacterial SSU rRNA". The stretch from base 1 to 508 matches the Rfam family "Bacterial small subunit ribosomal RNA", at positions 338 to 873 of the family's 1533-position model. The record is from RNAcentral.